ACGACGUAUCCCUCCAUACACCAACACCACAGGCCAGACUAGGCACAGACUGUGCACACAUCUUUCUCUGGUGUAUGCUCAACUCCAUAAUAACAUAAAAUAAUGGUUUUGAUUCUGUUCGUGUCUAAAAUGUCAACGAGAUGGGAACUAUUAUUAUUGUUGUAAUUUUGUUUAUGUGAUUGUGUUUUAAUUUUGUGUAAGUUUAAUGUUUUAUGAAUGUGAAAUGACGAUCUCUUUCGUGAACUGCUAAAAACGAUUUUGAGUCGUUCAUUGUUUAUUUUCUUCCAUCAACAAACAUGGCAGUUGACAGUAUGUCCGAUGAUUCUUCUGCAGACUCCGUUAAAGUAGUCGAUAACAGCCGAUUAGAUAAGAAAAAAAAGAAAAAGAAACACAAGCAUAGAAGUGAACGAAAACAUAAAAAAACGAAGAAAGAAAAUGGAGAAACCAAAUUGAAGGAUAAGAAGAAAUCAAAUGGUGACCAUAUCCAAAAUGGUAAACAAAAAAGACCACCAUCUCCACCCCCAACUGACAAUAGUAAAAAGAAAAAAAUUGAAGGACCCAUAAUAACAGAAAUCAACUUGGAUGAAGAAGAAAUGAAUUUAGAAGAACUAAUCAAGCAAAAGGCUUUACUUCAAGCCAGAUUAGGAGCUUAUUUAUCAGAAUCAGAAGAAGGUGAUAAAACCAAUAAAAAAAAAAAGCCAAGCGCUAAAAAAUCAGUUGAAACCAUUAACCUAAUUGAUGAUGAAUCAGAUGAAGAAUACAAAAAUAAGAAUUCUGAACGUGUAAGAAGUCCAUUAAAACGUUAUCAUGGUUCCAGUCAAGAAAUUAAGAAAACAAGAGAUAGAAGUGUAAGUAAAGACUUAACUCAUUUAAAGUCAGAUCGUAUAAGAAAAGAAAAAGAACGUGAAAAAGAAAGAGAUCGUGAUAAGGAAUAUGAAAGGAAUCGAGAAAAAGAAAAAGACAGACAAAGAAAAAUUAAACAUUUGGAAGAUGAAAAGCGACGUGAAAUAAGACGAAAAGAAGAGGAAAUCAAAAAAAGAGAAGAUGAUUUAAGGAGGCGUGAACAAAGAAGACGAGAUGAAGAAAUAAAAGAUAUAGAAGAAGAAGCAAAAAGACGAGCAGAAGAAGUAAGAAGACGAGAAGAACAGAUCAAGCAACGAGAAGAUCAAUUAAGACGGAGACGAGACCGUAUUAAAAGUCCUAUACCUAAUAGAGACCGUGCAAGAAGUCCACCUGGUCCCAAUAGAUAUCGUGACCGUGAUCGAGAACGUGAUCGUGAUAGAGAGAGAGAUAGAGAUAGAGAUAGAGAAAGAGAUAAGAGAUAUAAUAGAAAAUAUGAUAGGAGAUCACAUAGUAAAGAACGAUAUUCUAGAUCUCAUAGAGGAAAAGAUAGAGGAGAUAAAUAUAAAGACAGUUUUUCUGAAGGUCUUAAGCGUGAUGAUAAGUCAUCUUCAGAUUCUGACAUUGAUGUAAAUAUAAAUAUUGCGGAAGACGAAAACGAAGAAGAAAUUAUUGAAAAAAGAAGAAAGCAAAGGGAGGAAUUAUUGAAGAGGUUAGGAGCAAAUAAUAGUAAUUUGCAUAGUGAAGAUUCUAUGAAUCCUUCUCCACAUGGAAGUUACGCUACUGAAACAUCUAUUCAACAUUCGCCAGAACUUCCAUCUCCUAAAGAAACUGAUAGAAUAUUAAAUGAUUCUGAUUCAGCAACAGAUAAAGAGACCACAAAGCCUGAUCAUGUAUUAAAUCCUGAUUUAAUAAAAGGCAAAUGGGAUAUGUUUGCAGAGGCUGAUUCAUUUCAUGCUACACAACAUACUCCUCAACCAGAUGGUAUAUCCAAUGGAAACAAGAGUGUACCAGAAAAUCCUUCUUUAACUGAUAACUGGGAUGAUGCAGAAGGAUAUUAUCGCGUAAGAAUUGGUGAAACAAUGGAUUCACGUUAUACUGUCUACGGAUAUACUGGGCAAGGAGUAUUUUCUAAUGUUGUUCGUGCUAGAGACGCGGCUCGCGAUAAUCAAGAUGUGGCUGUUAAAAUCAUACGAAACAAUGAAAUUAUGCACAAAACAGGAUUGAAAGAAUUAGAAAUUCUUAAACGGUUAAAUGAUUCUGAUCCUGACGAUAGGUUUCAUUGUCUACGUUUAUAUCGUCACUUUUUCCACAAGCAACAUUUAUGCAUGGUUUUUGAACCUCUCAGUAUGAAUCUUAGAGAGGUGUUGAAGAAAUAUGGUAAAGACAUUGGAUUGCACAUUAAAGCUGUUCGUUCAUAUAGUCAACAGUUGUUUUUGGCAUUGAAAUUGAUGAAAAAAGCAAAUAUAUUACAUGCUGACAUCAAGCCUGAUAAUAUUCUGGUGAAUGAAAGUAAGUUAGUACUGAAAUUGUGUGAUUUUGGAUCAGCAUCACACAUAACUGAUAAUGAAAUUACACCCUAUUUGGUCAGUCGAUUCUACCGGUCCCCUGAAAUAAUUUUAGGUAUUCAGUGUGAAUUUGGCAUUGAUAUGUGGUCUGCUGGUUGUACUAUUUAUGAACUUUAUACUGGAAAAAUAUUAUUUCCAGGCAAAACUAAUAACCAAAUGUUGAAAUAUUUUAUGGAUUUGAAAGGAAAAAUGGCUAACAAAACUAUUCGGAAGGGAAUGUUCAAAGACCAACAUUUUGAUAGCAAUUGUAAUUUUCUGUAUCACGAAGUUGACAAAGUCACAGAACGAGAAAAAGUUAUAACCAUGUCUUCGAUAAAUCCUAGUCGAGAUUUAUAUACUGAAUUACUGGGAAACCAAAAAUUACCAGAGGAGCAAAUUCGUAAAGUUGGACAAUUGAAGGACUUGCUUGAUAAAAUACUGACUUUGGAUUCUUCAAAACGCAUUGGCAUAUCACAGGCUUUGAAGGAAAGCUAACUCGAAAAAUCAUACAACACUAGGAAUUGACAAAAUCAUUUCUCCUCCAAUGUUUAUUUGGGUUACCAAACAGAGAGAUAGAGAGAAGGGCAAAUCAGAAUGGCUAUUGUAUCCAUAAUUGGUAUCCAUACAGGUAAUAAAAUGAAAUAUUACAUUUAAAAAAUGGAUUAAUUAAUUUGGAAAUUAUUUCAAAUAAUUUUAAUACAAGCUUUCUUAUUACUUUUAAGAAUACUUCUAAAUAUUGUAAUUAUUGUAGUGAAACUAUUUCAUUUUCAUUGAUUACGUGUAAACAUGUACAACAUUGUUUACUUUCAACAUUCCUUUAAACCAAUUACCUGUUUUAAUAGGUUGUAAGUGAAGUAUGUCAUAAUAUAUUGUGGGUAUUACAUUUAAUUAUAUUUUUUUAUCGUGAUAAAUGUAUUAUUUUAAAUUUUGAACAGAACAAAGAAGUUUUAUAACUAUGUUUUUUCCUCAGAAAAUAAUAUUGAAAGUAAAAAAGCUCAAAAACUUUUUCAAAAUUAAUUUGAUAGAAAAGAGAGGAGAACCCUAGUUAUUAUUGCAAGUUUUUUAAAAAUUGUAAGAAACCGAAAAAAAAAUGUGUUUGUAUAUUUAAUUAAAACAGUAGCUUGGUACACAGAUGGCUAACAUCCAAUAUCACUUUUUUUUUUUUUUUAAUUGAGAUUAACAGCCUACAGGUUAAGCCCCAAUGUUGAAAAACAAUUAUUAGUUUAUCAUUAAGUAUAAUAUGUUGGGUUAACAGACCUCACAUUAUUAAUUUAUAACAGGCUCAUGUAGGAUCUUGAAGAAUCGACCUUUUAUGUAAUUUUCUUCAACAUAGUAGAGUCUUUAUAACUUGUAUUAUGUUUUCUUAUGGUAAUAUUUCUAAGUAUAGAACAAAAUUAUUUAUAUGGUAAUUUAUUUUAUGCAUUUAUCAUUAUUGACCAUACAAAUGUUAGUAAAAUCUUAGAAGAAUCAAUCAGAAAUUAUUAUGUUAAGUCUCAACCCCUCCUCCUCAUGGGGCUUAACCUGUGUAAGCAAAAAAAA
This 3926-nucleotide unclassified non-coding RNA is filed under the name Acyrthosiphon pisum (pea aphid). Its description in RNAcentral is "serine/threonine-protein kinase PRP4 homolog, transcript variant X5". Lineage: Eukaryota; Metazoa; Arthropoda; Insecta; Hemiptera; Aphididae. The record is from RNAcentral.